UGAGGAAUAUUGGGCAAUGCCCGCAAGGGUGACCCAGCAACGCCGCGUGGAGGAUGAAUGUCGUAAGAUUGUAAACUCCUGUUAGAGGGGAAGAAUAGUACCGGUUGGACCGGUAUAUGACUGUACCCUCAGAGAAAGCCCCGGCUAACUACGUGCCAGCAGCCGCGGUAAUACGUAGGGGGCAAGCGUUGUCCGGAUUUACUGGGAGUAAAGGGCGCGCAGGCGGGAUAAAAAGUCAGUGGUGAAAUCCUACAGCUUAACUGUAGAACUGCCUUUGAUACUUUUAUUCUUGAGUUCGGGAGAGAGAGACGGAAUUCCAGGUGUAGUGGUGAAAUACGUAGAUAUCUGGAAGAACACCAGUUGCGAAGGCGGUCUCUUGGUCCGACACUGACGCUGAGGCGCGAAAGCGUGGGGAGCAAACA
Molecule: ribosomal RNA, 422 nt
Filed under: uncultured bacterium
Lineage: Bacteria
Description: bacterial SSU rRNA
Rfam family: Bacterial small subunit ribosomal RNA
Source: RNAcentral